GAGGAAUAUUGGGCAAUGGACGAAAGUCUGACCCAGCCAUGCCGCGUGCAGGAUGAAUGCCCUAUGGGUUGUAAACUGCUUUUGUAUGGGAAGAAAUCCCCGGACGUGUUCGGGGUUGACGGUACUGUACGAAUAAGCAUCGGCUAACUCCGUGCCAGCAGCAGCGGUAAUACGGAGGAUGCAAGCGUUAUCCGGAUUUAUUGGGUUUAAAGGGUGCGUAGGCGGGAGAUUAAGUCAGUGAUGAAAUCCUACAGCUUAACUGUAGAACUGUUAUUGAUACUGGUUUUCUUGAAUACAGUUGAGGCAGGCGGAAUGUGUAAUGUAGCGGUGAAAUGCUUAGAUAUUACACAGAACACCGAUUGCGAAGGCAGCUUGCUAAACUGCUAUUGACGCUGAGGCACGAAAGCGUGGGGAGCAAAC
RNAcentral lists this ribosomal RNA (420 nucleotides) under uncultured bacterium. RNAcentral's name for it is "bacterial SSU rRNA". It matches the Rfam family "Bacterial small subunit ribosomal RNA", at positions 356 to 773 of the family's 1533-position model. The record is from RNAcentral.